RNAcentral lists this ribosomal RNA (177 nucleotides) under uncultured Olsenella sp. RNAcentral's name for it is "partial 16S ribosomal RNA". It matches the Rfam family "Bacterial small subunit ribosomal RNA", at positions 338 to 525 of the family's 1533-position model. The record is from RNAcentral. Lineage: Bacteria; Bacillati; Actinomycetota; Coriobacteriia; Coriobacteriales; Atopobiaceae.
UCUACGGGAGGCAGCAGUGGGGAAUCUUGCGCAAUGGGCGGAAGCCUGACGCAGCGACGCCGCGUGCGGGAGGAAGGCCCUCGGGUCGUAAACCGCUUUCAGCAGGGACGAGGCCGCAAGGUGACGGUACCUGCAGAAGAAGCCCCGGCUAACUACGUGCCAGCAGCCGCGGUAAUA